UACAGAGGUCCCAAGCGUUGUUCGGAUUCACUGGGCGUAAAGGGUGCGUAGGUGGCGGGGUAAGUUUGAUGUGAAAUCUCCGAGCUCAACUCGGAAAUGGCAUUGAAUACUACUCUGCUCGAGGUUUGGAGGGGGGACUGGAAUUCUCGGUGUAGCAGUGAAAUGCGUAGAUAUCGAGAGGAACACCAGUGGCGAAGGCGGCACACUGGACCACCACUGACGCUGAUGCGCGAAAGCCAGGGGAGCAAACGGG
This 253-nucleotide ribosomal RNA is filed under the name uncultured bacterium. RNAcentral describes it as "partial 16S ribosomal RNA". It matches the Rfam family "Bacterial small subunit ribosomal RNA", at positions 524 to 776 of the family's 1533-position model. The record is from RNAcentral.